RNAcentral lists this ribosomal RNA (253 nucleotides) under uncultured bacterium. RNAcentral's name for it is "partial 16S ribosomal RNA". It matches the Rfam family "Bacterial small subunit ribosomal RNA", at positions 524 to 776 of the family's 1533-position model. The record is from RNAcentral.
UACGAGGGGAGCAAGCGUUGUUCGGAUUUACUGGGCGUAAAGGGCGCGUAGGCGGCGUGACAAGUCACUUGUGAAAUCUCCGGGCUUAACUCGGAACGGUCAAGUGAUACUGUCGUGCUGGAGUACAGAAGGGGCAACUGGAAUUCUCGGUGUAGCGGUGAAAUGCGUAGAUAUCGAGAGGAACACCUGCGGCGAAGGCGGGUUGCUGGGCUGAUACUGACGCUGAGGUGCGAAAGCCAGGGGAGCGAACGGG